GCAGUGAUGACUGCACAGCAGGUUGUGUCCUUCCAAACACAGUGUCUGUGCUUAUGGGGCACCUGUAAGAAGACUCAGAGGAUGGCUGAGGAUGGAGGCCAAGAGAUAGCAGAAGUGCAUCAGAAAGAUCAAAAAAGAACUCAUCUUUUCAACUGGCCUGCACGUCUGCUUGCGAAGUUUCAUUUAGGCACACACGUCACUCCUGAUAUCCCCAGAGCACUUUGCGUGAGACCACCAGGCUGAAGAGGUAGAAGAACAUUUGAGGCUGAGUUGUGCAUCACCAAAGCUGGAGCACACCUACGUCAGAGGCAACGCUGAGCUACUACCGCAGCAUUCAAGGUAGAAGAUGAGGCACCAUGAAUCUGGAUUCAGGAAGCACAUGCAAAGUAGUCUAGUUCUGCAAAGAAAGGAGGAUGUUCUGUCUGUGAACUCCGUGUAUGGAUCAGAGAAACCAAACCAGGCAACAUGCUAACAAACAAAAGAAAAAUGAUCACAGACAAGUUAUUACAGAAGGUAUAGGUCACAUGUCAAAACUCACUGUCUUCCUUAAGGUGAGGCCUGUCAGCUUCCUGGCAUGGAGCAUCACUGAAAAGUUAGCAAGGAUAAGGUGAACCCAGGACAACCCAGAUGCUCUCUGUUGUAUUUGAAGCUGACAAAAAGUACGUUUUGCCCCACGAUAUUCAGUCAGCUCCUGAAAGUUACAGAAAUCAGACCAGACCAAGAGUUCAGAGGUCCCAGGUCAUUCAACUAGCUGAUGUUAGAAACAGAUCUCCUAGGUGCCUGUCCUCUGCUUUAGAAACCAGGUAGAACUUGCUUUUUAUUAGUUUGUCUGCCUCAGUUAUGUCUCAGCUACACUGAGUGAGAGCUUUGGAACCAGAGUUUCCGAAAUUGUCUUAUUUCCCUUGAAAUCCUCAGUUCUAUAAUAUUGUCCUUUGAAAUCCCAGUGGUGGUGACAAGAAUUUUCCUGUGAUGCAAGUGGCAGGUCCGUUACAUCAGCGUGAUACUUCUUGUAUGUCCCAGUGGACAUUGUGUUGCCGCAGUUCGGUUGUCUUUCUCUGAAGAGACCGAAACAACAUUGAGUCAUUACAGAUUAUAUGGAACUUUUAACAGCAGAAAAGCCUGAAGUCCAGUGCCAUCACGAAAGUCCAUAGCCAUGCUGCUCUUACGAAUCCCUUCUGUAGUCAGAGCUUGACAUAGACCUGUGUGGCUUCAGCUUUCUAUCAAGAGAGAGCUGCAGAUUCACCCCACCAUGGACUCUAGUGUUAUCGCUCUGACAAAAUGGUGAACCUCAGCUGGCAUAAAUGAAUGCAAUCCUACCAAUGCUAGCUGAACUCACCUGCCUUAGAUAGCCGAGGAUCUAGCCUGUUAGCCUUUCCUGUAUACUGAAUAAGAUGAACAUUUGAAAAUAUAAAUGCAAUUUUCUACUUGAGAACUUUCUGCAGCUGGGUGCCUGGCUCAGUACUUUUCUAUUGUCGACUUAUGCAGUACAAGAACUGCAAAACAAUUUUAUCAGAAUUUAAUCAAAUCUGUGCUGUGACCUGCAAUGCAGUGUAAUUCAUAUAAGUAAAAUCUCUGAUUGCUGUGAUGCUGAGCAUGGACAUCAGGGCAUGAUGUUUGGACCUUAUUGCAAUCAGUGGUGAGCUUUCCAUGCUCACCCAGUUACCACAACAAGACCUUACCAGCUAAAUCCUGUCAUGCACUAGUCGUUAGCCUCUGACUGAAAUGGGACCGCAAUUCUAUCUUAUAUCUAAUGUUACACUUUGGAUAGCAUUAGGGGAUUAACAUUAAAGGAUAACAUUACGGCAUAACAUUAAGAUGUUUUUCUUUCUUGGGAGGAUUAUGAAAGAAAAAUACAGGAGAGUGUAAUAGAAGGUGUUUUGGCAAA
Molecule: long non-coding RNA, 1885 nt
Organism: Struthio camelus australis
Lineage: Eukaryota; Metazoa; Chordata; Aves; Struthioniformes; Struthionidae
Source: RefSeq, a predicted model, not a curated record